AGUGAACGCUGGCGGUAGGCCUAAUACAUGCAAGUCGAGCGGAAGGACAGUAAGAGCUUGCUCUUAAGGGUGGCGACUGGCGGACGGGUGAGGCAUAGAUAGGAAUCUACUUUUACGUGGGGGAUAUCGGGGGGAAGCUUACGCUAAUACCUAAUAUGACCUACGGGAGAAAGCAGGGGUUAUUGGGACCUUGCGCGUUACAAUGAGCCGAUGUCGGAUUAGCUAGUUUGCGGGGUAAGGGCACACCAAGGCGACGAUCCGUAGCUGGUCUGAGAGGAUGAUCAGCCACACUGGAACUGAGACACGGUCCAGACUCCUACGGGAGGCAGCAGUAGGGAAUAUUGCACAAAGGGCGCAAGCCUGAUCCAGCCAUACCGCGUGAGUGAAGAAGGUCUUCGGGUUGUAAAGCCCUUUUGUUGGGAAAGAAAAGCAGCAGGUGAAUACCCCGCCGUUCUGACGGUACCCAAAGAAUAAGCACCGGCUAACUUCGUG
RNAcentral lists this ribosomal RNA (492 nucleotides) under uncultured bacterium. Its description in RNAcentral is "partial 16S ribosomal RNA". It matches the Rfam family "Bacterial small subunit ribosomal RNA", at positions 29 to 507 of the family's 1533-position model. The record is from RNAcentral.